UGUCUUCGGGGCAGGGUGAAAUUCCCGAUCGGCGGUAGAGUCCGCAAGCAUUUUGCAUGAACCGGUGUGAUUCCGGUACCGACAGUUACAGUCUGGAUGGAAGAAGAG
This 108-nucleotide non-coding RNA is filed under the name bovine gut metagenome. RNAcentral describes it as "FMN riboswitch (RFN element)". It matches the Rfam family "FMN riboswitch aptamer (RFN element)". From Rfam's summary of the family: The RFN element is a highly conserved domain that is found frequently in the 5'-untranslated regions of prokaryotic mRNAs that encode for flavin mononucleotide (FMN) biosynthesis and transport proteins. This element is a metabolite-dependent riboswitch that directly binds FMN in the absence of proteins. The record is from RNAcentral.